Molecule: ribosomal RNA, 429 nt
Filed under: Gemmatimonadota bacterium
Lineage: Bacteria; Pseudomonadati; Gemmatimonadota
Description: Gemmatimonadetes bacterium partial 16S ribosomal RNA
Rfam family: Bacterial small subunit ribosomal RNA
Source: RNAcentral
UAGGGAAUCUUCGGCAAUGGACGAAAGUCUGACCGAGCAACGCCGCGUGAGUGAAGAAGGUUUUCGGAUCGUAAAACUCUGUUGUUAGAGAAGAACAAGGACGUUAGUAACUGAACGUCCCCUGACGGUAUCUAACCAGAAAGCCACGGCUAACUACGUGCCAGCAGCCGCGGUAAUACGUAGGUGGCAAGCGUUUUCCGGAUUUAUUGGGCGUAAAGCGAGCGCAGGCGGUUUCUUAAGUCUGAUGUGAAAGCCCCCGGCUCAACCGGAGAGGGUCAUUGGAAACUGGGAGACUUGAGUGCAGAAGAGGAGAGUGGAAUUCCAUGUGUAGCGGUGAAAUGCGUAGAUAUAUGGAGGAACACCAGUGGCGAAGGCGGCUCUCUGGUCUGUAAAUGACGCUGAGGCUCGAAAGCGUGGGGAGCAAACAGG